UCUCCUGUAGCUCAGUGGUAGAGCGCCUGACUGGUGUGCAGAAGGUCAUAGGUUCGACUCUUGUUGGGAGAA
This 72-nucleotide transfer RNA is filed under the name Desmophyllum pertusum. Its description in RNAcentral is "Lophelia pertusa tRNA". It matches the Rfam family "tRNA". From Rfam's summary of the family: Transfer RNA (tRNA) molecules are approximately 80 nucleotides in length. Their secondary structure includes four short double-helical elements and three loops (D, anti-codon, and T loops). The record is from Rfam by way of RNAcentral. Lineage: Eukaryota; Metazoa; Cnidaria; Anthozoa; Scleractinia; Caryophylliidae.